AUUGACGUGGCAAGGCUGGAUGGCUCAGAUGUGAGGGCGCAGCGUGUGUCCAAGUCAAACGCGUGACAUUAUGAAUUAAAACAAGUAAACACAAUGGAUGACCAGGAUUAAAACGUGGCAAGGCGAUCCAAGGGCUAGGAAGCAAGACACGUUGUGGUGAUGGUGGAAACCACCGUCUUCUCCGGCGAACCAACGGAAUCCGGCCACCAGUUGCAG
Molecule: long non-coding RNA, 216 nt
Filed under: Lathyrus oleraceus (garden pea)
Lineage: Eukaryota; Viridiplantae; Streptophyta; Magnoliopsida; Fabales; Fabaceae
Description: Pisum sativum (pea) long non-coding RNA (PSAT_LNC020903)
Source: RNAcentral